RNAcentral lists this ribosomal RNA (429 nucleotides) under Chloroflexota bacterium. RNAcentral's name for it is "Chloroflexi bacterium partial 16S ribosomal RNA". It matches the Rfam family "Bacterial small subunit ribosomal RNA", at positions 355 to 776 of the family's 1533-position model. The record is from RNAcentral. Lineage: Bacteria; Bacillati; Chloroflexota.
UGGGGAAUAUUGCACAAUGGGCGCAAGCCUGAUGCAGCCAUGCCGCGUGUAUGAAGAAGGCCUUCGGGUUGUAAAGUACUUUCAGCGGGGAGGAAGGGAGUAAAGUUAAUACCUUUACUCAUUGACGUUACCCGCAGAAGAAGCACCGGCUAACUCCGUGCCAGCAGCCGCGGUAAUACGGAGGGUGCAAGCAUUAAUCGGAAUUACUGGGCGUAAGGCGCACGCAGGCGGUUUGUUAAGUCAGAUGUGAAAUCCCCGGGCUCAACCUGGGAACUGCAUCUGAUACUGGCAAGCUUGAGUCUCGUAGAGGGGGGUAGAAUUCCAGGUGUAGCGAUGAAAUGCGUAGAGAUCUGGAGGACUACCGGUGGCGAAGACGGCCCCCUGGACAAAGACUGACGCUCAGGUGCGAAAGCGUGGGGAGCAAACAGG